This 253-nucleotide ribosomal RNA is filed under the name uncultured bacterium. Its description in RNAcentral is "partial 16S ribosomal RNA". It matches the Rfam family "Bacterial small subunit ribosomal RNA", at positions 524 to 776 of the family's 1533-position model. The record is from RNAcentral.
GACGAACCGAGCGAACGUUGUUCGGAAUCACUGGGCUUAAAGGGCGCGUAGGCGGGCAAUCAAGUCAGGGGUGAAAGCCCACGGCUCAACCGUGGAAGUGCCUUUGAUACUGAUAGCCUCGAGGGAGAUAGGGGCGUGCGGAACUUCCGGUGGAGCGGUGAAAUGCGUAGAUAUCGGAAGGAACACCGAUGGCGAAAGCAGCGCGCUGGAUCUCUUCUGACGCUGAGGCGCGAAAGCCAGGGGAGCAAACGGG